AUGCCGCCGCCGCCGCAAACAGAAACAGCAGCGGCAGGAGGAGGUCGGAGCCGCGCCCGUCGCAUAGCGCACCGCACCAGGGACAGCUGCGUGGCCGUCUUCUGCAGCACGCUCUGCUCCGUCCUCCUCGCCGUCAUCCUCGUGGCCGGCGUCGCCCUCUUCGUCGCCUGGCUCGGCCUCCGCCCGCACCGCCCGCGCUUCACCCUCUCCUCCUUCUCCCUCUCCGGCCCGGGGGGACAGGGACAGGGCCAGGCCGCCUUCAACGUGUCGGACCGCAACCCCAACCGCCACAUCGGCAUCUACUACGACGGCGCCACGCGCGCCUCCCUCCGCUUCUACGACGCGCUGGUGGCCUCCGGCCCGGCCUUCCCCGCCGGCUGGUACCAGCCCAACAUGACCACCAUCUCCAUCGCCGGCGUGCUCGACGUCGUCGGCCCAACGCCCGCCGACCCCGCCGCGUGGCACUCCUUCUCCGCCGCGCUCCACGCCGGGCGCCUCCCGCUGCGCCUGGAGCUCGUCUUCUCAGGCGUCCGGUUCAGAGUCGCCAGUGUGUUCCACUCGGGUCGGCAGAGGAUGCAUGUCAAGUGCGACCUGCUCGUCGGCGCCGACGGCAACCUGCUCCGCGAAUCCGUGGGGACAUCCUGCGACAGAUACUUGUGA
This 660-nucleotide ribosomal RNA is filed under the name Triticum aestivum (bread wheat). RNAcentral's name for it is "partial small subunit ribosomal RNA". The record is from RNAcentral. Lineage: Eukaryota; Viridiplantae; Streptophyta; Magnoliopsida; Poales; Poaceae.